AUUGAACGCUGGCGGCAGGCCUAACACAUGCAAGUCGAGCGGAGCGGCGGACGGGUGAGUAAUGCCUAGGAAUCUGCCUGUUAGUGGGGGAUAACGUCCGGAAACGGGCGCUAAUACCGCAUACUAUCAGAUGAGCCUAGGUCGGAUGAGCGAGUUGGGGGGGUAAAGGCCUAACAAGGCGACGAUCCGUAACUGGUCUGAGAGGCUGAUCAGUAAGAGUGGAACGGAGACAAGGUCCAGACUCCGACGGGAGGCAGAAGUGGGGAAUAUUGGACAAUGGGCGAAAGCCUGAUCCAGCCAUGCCGCGUGUGUGAAGAAGGUCUUCGGAGUGUAAAGCACUUUAAGUUGGGAGGCGUUACCAACAGAAUAAGCACCGGCUAACUUCGUGCCAGCAGCCGCGGUAAUUC
This 407-nucleotide ribosomal RNA is filed under the name uncultured bacterium. RNAcentral describes it as "partial 16S ribosomal RNA". It matches the Rfam family "Bacterial small subunit ribosomal RNA", at positions 29 to 526 of the family's 1533-position model. The record is from RNAcentral.